AACAAGGCGUACCUGCGGACCUGCGGAGGGAUCAUUACAAGUGACCCCGGUCUAACCACCGGGAUGUUCAUAACCCUUUGUUGUCCGACUCUGUUGCCUCCGGGGCGACCCUGCCCUCGGGCGGGGGCUCCGGGUGGACACUUCAAACUCUUGCGUAACUUUGCAGUCUGAGUAAACUUAAUUAAUAAAUUAAAACUUUCAACAACGGAUCU
RNAcentral lists this unclassified non-coding RNA (212 nucleotides) under soil metagenome. RNAcentral's name for it is "partial contains 5.8S ribosomal RNA, internal transcribed spacer 2, and large subunit ribosomal RNA". The record is from RNAcentral.